Molecule: non-coding RNA, 1793 nt
Organism: Castor canadensis (American beaver)
Lineage: Eukaryota; Metazoa; Chordata; Mammalia; Rodentia; Castoridae
Source: RefSeq, a predicted model, not a curated record
UACCUGGAGCCUUCCCGCCCCGCGCCGGGCGCCUGCCGUCUGGUUUUCGCUGGAGCUGGUGGGGAAAGGAGGUGGGUGAGUCCGACGGGCGCGCGACUCCAGGUGACGCUUGCCGCUUCCCGGUCUCUCAGGCUCGUGGCGGGGUGGAGGCUGCAGUCGCCCCGAGUCGGCCGCAGACGGGGCGUGCAGCCCUAGGAAAAGUGCGACAGUCGACCGGGGACGUCGCCUGUGGCAUGAUUUGUUUGACACAGAUCUUGAAGAAUAUUGUAUGGUAUUGAAGGAUGGCAGAAGCAGUUUUGAUUGAUCUCUUUGGUUUGAAAUUGAACUCUCAAAACAACUGCCAUCAGACAUUGCUAAAGACAUUGAAUGCUGUCCAAAACCACCAUGCUGACAAGGCCAAGUUUCUUUGCAUAAUAUGUUGCGGUAACAUCAGCUGUGAAAGGGGUGGUGAAAAUGAUAUUUGUGAAUUGGAAACAAGCAAUGGAUUAUUAACUCUCUUGAAAGAAUUUGAGACUGUUAGUAAACCUAGUAUGGCUGCCUCUUUGUAUACCAUUAAACAAAAAAUCGAUGAAAAAAAUCUGAGCAGCAUUAAGGUGAUUGUACCAAUGCACAGAAAGACAUUAAUGAAGGCUUUCAUCGAUCAACUCUUCACUGAGGUUUACAAUUUUGAGUUUGAAGAUUUACAGGUGUCCUUGAAGGAUGGCCUUUUGAAACAGUCCACUGAAAUAAACAUGAUCACAGCUCAUGAACUUGAAGAAAUCCAGAAUGAAAUAGAAACAUACUUAAGGAGUCUGCCAGCUCUGAAUGGAGAAUUAGCUAUUAUCACAACUCCGUCGAUCCCAGAUAUUUUCAUACAUGGAUUUACUACAAGAACUGGUGGGAUAUCUUACAUACCAACUCUUAGCUCAUUCAAUCUCUUCAGUAGUUCCAAACGGAGAGAUCCCAAGGUAGUUGUUCAAGAAAACCUACGUAGGUUGGCGAAUGCUGCAGGAUUUAACGCAGAGAAAUUUCACCGAAUAAAGCCUGAUCAUGCCAGUGAAGUCUGGAUUAUGGGAAAGAAGGAACCUGAAUCUUAUGAUGCAAUAACCACAAACCAAAGAGGAGUCACAGUAGCAGCUCUUGGUGCCGACUGUAUACCUAUAGUGUUUGCAGAUCCUGUGAAAAAAGCAUGUGGGGUUGCUCACUCUGGCUGGAAAGGUACUUUGUUAGGUGUUGCUAUGACUACAGUGAAUGCUAUGAUAGCAGAAUACGGCUGUAGUUUGGAAGACAUUAUUGUUGUGCUGGGACCUUCAGUAGGACCUUGCUGUUUUACUCUUCCCAGGGAAUCUGCAAACACAUUCCAUAAUCUCCAUCCUGCGUGUGUCCGACUGUUUGACUCGCCAAAUCCCUACGUUGACCUCCGUAAAGCCACCAGGAUUCUUCUAGAACGAGGAGGAAUUCUUCCACAUAAUAUUCAGGACCAGAGUCAAGAUCUCAACCUCUGUACAUCCUGCCAUCCUGACAAGUUUUUCUCCCAUGUCCGAGAUGGCCUUAACUUUGGUACACAGAUUGGCUUCAUAUCAAUUAGAGAAUGAGGUACUUGAUUGGAUUUUUGAAUAACUGCUUCCUGCCUCCUUCCAAAUUGACAGCAAGAGAGAAAUUUAGCUGAUUGCUUUAUGUAAAAACCAAGAAGAUUACAGUGGAGAAUCCAUCUUUAGGGAUCCCUGUCGAUCUCAAGCAUUUCUUGAUAGGUUUCUUGAACUUUUACGGUUGAGAGCUGAAGGAUCGCAGUUCGAGGCCAGCUGGGGCAAAAA